AAGCUGCUGUUCAACUCCUCAUCUCCAGUCCCCAGUGAAUCUCUGGUUCUCAGUGCUAUCAAAACUCUCCGUAAUUCCAGAGAGUCACAGCUCAAUGAAUCGGUGAAGGUGGUGAAUGUCACCUAUGAGAAGAUCUCAGAAACCUCCUAUGCUGUGGUCUUUACAUUUAAUGUGAUUAACAUCAGUAUUCCAGAGGACCCUGCGUCUAGAGGCAACACCUACCUGCAAGUGCAAGAUACCAUCAAUAAUGCGGUAAACUUCAAAAAUGAACAAUGUAAAAAGGAUUAGUUUCAAUGUCAGCCUUCAGGAGAAACUGAUGAAUGGUUUGGUUUUUCCUCCUGCAGCUGAACACUCUUCUGAACGAACCUGGCAGUCC
This 376-nucleotide long non-coding RNA is filed under the name Sinocyclocheilus grahami. RNAcentral describes it as "lncRNA (ENSSGRG00000027116.1)". Lineage: Eukaryota; Metazoa; Chordata; Actinopteri; Cypriniformes; Cyprinidae. The record is from RNAcentral.